Molecule: ribosomal RNA, 429 nt
Filed under: Actinomycetes bacterium
Lineage: Bacteria; Bacillati; Actinomycetota; Actinomycetes
Description: Actinobacteria bacterium partial 16S ribosomal RNA
Rfam family: Bacterial small subunit ribosomal RNA
Source: RNAcentral
UAGGGAAUCUUCCGCAAUGGGCGAAAGCCUGACGGAGCAACGCCGCGUGAGUGAUGAAGGUCUUCGGAUCGUAAAACUCUGUUAUUAGGGAAGAACAAAUGUGUAAGUAACUACGCACGUCCUGACGGUACCUAAUCAGAAAGCCACGGCUAACUACGUGCCAGCAGCUUCGGUAAUACGCAGUUGGCAAGCGUUAUCCGGAAUUAUUGGGCGUAAAGCGCGCGUAGGCGGUUUUUUAAGUCUGAUGUGAAAGCCCACGGAUCAACCGUGGAGGGGCAUUGGAAACUGGAAGACUUGAGUGCAGAAGAGGAAAGUGGAAUUCCAUGUGUAGCGGUGAAAUGCGCAGAGAUAUGGAGGAACACCAGUGGCGAAGGCGGCUUACUGGUAUGUAACUGACGAUGAUGUGCGAAAGCGUGGGGAUCAAACAGG